UCCGAUGUGGUGUAUCGGUAACAUCAUUGUCUCUCAUUCUGAGGACACAAUAGCGCCGGGUUCGACUCCCGGCAUCGGAA
Molecule: non-coding RNA, 80 nt
Organism: Myotisia sp. PD_48
Lineage: Eukaryota; Fungi; Ascomycota; Eurotiomycetes; Onygenales
Source: the annotation of a GenBank genome assembly